GACGAACGCUGGCGGCGUGCUUAACACAUGCAAGUCGAACGGAAAGGCCCUGCUUUUGUGGGGUGCUCGAGUGGCGAACGGGUGAGUAACACGUGAGUAACCUGCCCUUGACUUUGGGAUAACUUCAGGAAACUGGGGCUAAUACCGGAUAGGAGCUCCUGCUGCAUGGUGGGGGUUGGAAAGUUGCGGCGGUUGGGGAUGGACUCGCGGCUUAUCAGCUUGUUGGUUGGGUAGUGGCUUACCCAGGCUUUGACGGGUAGCCGGCCUGAGAGGGUGACCGGCACCAUGGGGACUGAGGGACGGCGCAGACGGCAACGGGAGGCAGCAGUGGGGAAUAUUGCACAAUGGGCGGAAGUCUGAUGCAGCAACGCCGCGUGCGGGAUGCCGGCCUUCGGGGUGUAAACCGCUUUCGCUUGUGACGAAGCGUGAGUGACGGUAAUGGGUAAAGAAGCACCGGCUAACUACGUG
RNAcentral lists this ribosomal RNA (468 nucleotides) under uncultured bacterium. Its description in RNAcentral is "partial 16S ribosomal RNA". It matches the Rfam family "Bacterial small subunit ribosomal RNA", at positions 28 to 507 of the family's 1533-position model. The record is from RNAcentral.